CCUACGGGGGGCAGCAGUGAGGAAUAUUGGUCAAUGGACGAGAGUCUGAACCAGCCAAGUAGCGUGAAGGAUGACUGCCCUAUGGGUUGUAAACUUCUUUUAUAUGGGAAUAAAAUGUUCCACGUGUGGGAUUUUGUAUGUACCAUAUGAAUAAGGAUCGGCUAACUCCGUGCCAGCAGCCGCGGUAAUACGGAGGAUCCGAGCGUUAUCCGGAUUUAUUGGGUUUAAAGGGAGCGUAGGUGGAUUGUUAAGUCAGUUGUGAAAGUUUGCGGCUCAACCGUAAAAUUGCAGUCGAAACUGGCAGUCUUGAGUACAGUAGAGGUGGGCGGAAUUCGUGGUGUAGCGGUGAAAUGCUUAGAUAUCACGAAGAACUCCGAUUGCGAAGGCAGUUCACUGGACUGCAACUGACACUGAGGCUCGAAAGUGUGGGUAUCAAACAGGAUUAGAUACCCUUGUAGUC
RNAcentral lists this ribosomal RNA (460 nucleotides) under uncultured bacterium. RNAcentral describes it as "partial 16S ribosomal RNA". It matches the Rfam family "Bacterial small subunit ribosomal RNA", at positions 338 to 795 of the family's 1533-position model. The record is from RNAcentral.